This 406-nucleotide ribosomal RNA is filed under the name uncultured bacterium. Its description in RNAcentral is "bacterial SSU rRNA". It matches the Rfam family "Bacterial small subunit ribosomal RNA", at positions 988 to 1392 of the family's 1533-position model. The record is from RNAcentral.
CGCGCUCCGAACCCUAGAGAUAGGGCUUUCCCCUUCGGGGGACAGAGUGACAGGUGGUGCAUGGUUGUCGUCAGCUCGUGUCGUGAGAUGUUGGGUUAAGUCCCGCAACGAGCGCAACCCUUGAUCUUAGUUGCCAGCAUUCAGUUGGGCACUCUAAGAUGACUGCCGGUGACAAACCGGAGGAAGGUGGGGAUGACGUCAAAUCAUCAUGCCCCUUAUGACCUGGGCUACACACGUGCUACAAUGGACGGUACAAAGGGCAGCGAGACCGCGAGGUUUAGCCAAUCCCAUAAAACCGUUCUCAGUUCGGAUUGUAGGCUGCAACUCGCCUACAUGAAGCUGGAAUCGCUAGUAAUCGCGGAUCAGCAUGCCGCGGUGAAUACGUUCCCGGGUCUUGUACACACCG